This 497-nucleotide ribosomal RNA is filed under the name uncultured bacterium. RNAcentral's name for it is "partial 16S ribosomal RNA". It matches the Rfam family "Bacterial small subunit ribosomal RNA", at positions 28 to 507 of the family's 1533-position model. The record is from RNAcentral.
GAUGAACGCUGGCGGCGUGCCUAAUACAUGCAAGUCGAGCGAACAGACGAGGAGCUUGCUCCUCUGACGUUAGCGGCGGACGGGUGAGUAACACGUGGAUAACCUACCUAUAAGACUGGGAUAACUUCGGGAAACCGGAGCUAAUACCGGAUAAUAUAUUGAACCGCAGGGUUCAAUAGUGAAAGACGGUUUUUGUGUCACUUAUAGAGGGAUCCGCGCCGCAUUAGCUAGUUGGUAAGGUAACGGGUUACCAAGGGAACGAUGCGUAGCCGACGGCAGAGGGUGAUAGGCCACACUGGAACUGAGACACGGUCCAGACUCCUACGGGAGGCCGCAGUAGGGAAUCUUCCGCAAUGGUCGAAAGCCUUACGGAGCAACGCCGCGUGAGUUAUGAAGGUCUUCGGAUCGUAAAACUCUGUUAUUAGGGAAGAACAAAUGUGUAAGUAACUAUGCCCGUCUUGACGGUACCUAAUCAGAAAGCCACGGCUAACUACGUG